UUAAUAACAACAUUGUAUCCCUUAAGGAUUCUUAUUAACUCUAACGCUUUUUUGUUUGUUUGUUUUUUGUAACUCUUCCGCUUUUGUGAUAGACAUGCAGAGACACAUCAUUAUUUUCUUUGGUUCUUUGUGGAGGGCUCUGCUGGGCCUUCGUGCUUGUAACAGCAGCUGGCCCCGCUGCAGGACGUUCAUGUUGGGCUGUCCUAGAAAACAUGGGUAACAGGUGGCACAGAAAAUUUUUUACUUCACACGAGAAAGAUGGUGAAGUUAAAGAAUCUGUUGACCUUGAAAGUUUCCCACGUGAAAGGAAGCGCCUGGGAACCUGCUGGGUGACCCCUCAGCCGAGGACGUUGGAGCUCAUGAUCAUGAAGGUCACCGGUGAUGCUCUUAGCCCUUCCUGAGUGGAUUGUCCUGAAGUCAAAAGACCGACUUCUCUUUGUUAUAAGUGCCUCCAAAUAUAUUAAAUUACCAUUUAUCAAGCACCAGAAUU
Molecule: non-coding RNA, 490 nt
Organism: Kogia breviceps (pygmy sperm whale)
Lineage: Eukaryota; Metazoa; Chordata; Mammalia; Artiodactyla; Physeteridae
Source: RefSeq, a predicted model, not a curated record